AGAGUUUGAUCAUGGCUCAGAUUGAACGCUGGCGGCAUGCCUUACACAUGCAAGUCGAACGGCAGCGCGGGGCAACCUGGCGGCGAGUGGCGAACGGGUGAGUAAUAUAUCGGAACGUGCCCUGGAGUGGGGGAUAACGCAGCGAAAGUUGCGCUAAUACCGCAUACGAUCUAAGGAUGAAAGCGGGGGAUUCGCAAGAACCUCGUGCUCCUGGAGCGGCCGAUAUCUGAUUAGCUAGUUGGUGGGGUAAAGGCCUACCAAGGCAUCGAUCAGUAGCUGGUCUGAGAGGACGACCAGCCACACUGGAACUGAGACACGGUCCAGACUCCUACGGGAGGCAGCAGUGGGGAAUUUUGGACAAUGGGCGAAAGCCUGAUCCAGCAAUGCCGCGUGAGUGAAGAAGGCCUUCGGGUUGUAAAGCUCUUUUGUCAGGGAAGAAACGGUGUGGGCUAAUAUCCCGCACUAAUGACGGUACCUGAAGAAUAAGCACCGGCUAACUACGUGCCAGCAGCCGCGGUAAUACGUAGGGUGCAAGCGUUAAUCGGAAUUACUGGGCGUAAAGCGUGCGCAGGCGGUUUUGUAAGUCUGUCGUGAAAUCCCCGGGCUCAACCUGGGAAUUGCGAUGGAGACUGCAAGGCUAGAAUCUGGCAGAGGGGGGUAGAAUUCCACGUAGCAGUGAAAUGCGUAGAGAUGUGGAGGAACACCGAUGGCGAAGGCAGCCCCCUGGGUCAAGAUUGACGCUCAUGCACGAAAGCGUGGGGAGCAAACAGGAUUAGAUACCCUAGUAGUCC
Molecule: ribosomal RNA, 791 nt
Filed under: uncultured bacterium
Lineage: Bacteria
Description: bacterial SSU rRNA
Rfam family: Bacterial small subunit ribosomal RNA
Source: RNAcentral